GGGUCUUCUUGGGGCCGCCUUGCCCCGCCCCAGUCCGGCCGCGGCGCGGGUUCCGGCGGCUGCUUGGAGGGCUGCGGUGUCCGGGGCAUGAGUGGGGUGCGGGGGACCGGGGAGCCUCGGUGCCAGGCGGCGCUCGCGGUCCUGGCCUCUCUGUGCCGGGCCCGGCCGCCCCCUCUCGGGCUGGACGUGGAGACUUGUCGAAGCUUCGAGCUAGAGCCCCCAGAGCGGAGUCCGAGCGCUGCCGACUCAGGCACCUCUGUCAGCCUCCUCGCAGUGGUAGUGAUUGUGUGUGGCGUGGCCCUGGUGGCAGUUUUUCUCUUUCUCUUUUGGAAGCUGUGCUGGAUGCCCUGGAGGAACAAGGAGGCCUCCAGCCCCUCCUCUGCUAACCCCUCCCCGGAGGCCCUCCAGAGCCCCAGCUCCAGAGGCAACAUGGCGGACAAGCUCAAGGACCCCCACACCCUGGGCUUCCUAGAGGCGGCUGUGAAGAUCAGCCACACGUCCCCAGAUAUCCCGGCCGAGGUGCAGAUGUCCGUCAAAGAGCACAUCAAGCGUCACACACGGCUGCAGCGACAAACCACAGAGCCAGCAUCGUCCACCAGGCACACGUCCUUCAAGCGCCACCUGCCACGGCAGAUGCACGUGUCCAGCGUGGACUACGGCAACGAGCUGCCCCCAGCGGCGGAGCAGCCCACCAGCAUUGGCCGCAUCAAGCCCGAACUGUAUAAGCAGAAGUCGGUGGAUGGGGACGAUGCCAAAUCCGAGGCCAAGAGCUGCGGGAAAAUCAACUUCAGCCUGCGCUACGACUACGAGAACGAGACCCUGAUUGUGCGCAUCCUGAAGGCCUUCGACCUCCCAGCCAAGGACUUUUGCGGCAGCUCCGACCCUUACGUCAAGAUCUACCUCCUGCCCGACCGCAAGUGCAAGCUGCAGACCCGGGUGCACCGCAAAACCCUGAACCCCACCUUCGACGAGAAUUUCCACUUCCCAGUGCCCUACGAGGAGCUGGCCGACCGCAAGCUGCAUCUCAGCGUCUUUGACUUUGACCGCUUCUCCCGCCACGACAUGAUCGGGGAGGUGAUCCUGGACAACCUCUUCGAGGCCUCCGACCUGUCCCGGGAAACCUCCAUCUGGAAGGACAUCCAGUACGCCACAAGUGAAAGUGUGGAUUUGGGCGAGAUCAUGUUCUCCCUCUGCUACCUGCCCACAGCAGGCAGGCUCACCCUCACCGUGAUCAAGUGCCGGAACCUCAAGGCAAUGGACAUCACAGGCUACUCAGAUCCAUAUGUCAAAGUGUCCCUGCUCUGUGACGGGCGGAGACUGAAGAAAAAGAAAACCACCAUAAAGAAAAACACCCUCAACCCUGUCUACAACGAGGCCAUCAUCUUCGACAUUCCCCCGGAGAACAUGGACCAAGUCAGCCUGCUCAUCUCCGUUAUGGAUUAUGAUCGAGUGGGUCACAACGAGAUCAUUGGAGUCUGUCGUGUGGGGAUCAACGCCGAAGGUCUGGGAAGGGACCACUGGAACGAGAUGCUGGCGUACCCACGGAAGCCCAUCGCACACUGGCACUCCUUGGUGGAGGUAAAGAAAUCCUUCAAAGAGGGAAACCCUCGGUUGUGAUUUCAUUCACGUGGAUGCUGCGAGCAGAGAGACUGCCACCUGGAGUUAGGAUGGCAAGGCCGAGCCGCCAGCUUCGACAGCGAGGGUUCGUGCCCGUCUCCGAAACCACCUCCGACACCAUGAGCUGCACGGCGGCUGCCAGGCUACACAAACGAGACUCAGCAGCGUUCUUUUUGCACUUGUUCAACC
Cervus elaphus (red deer) is the source of this 1806-nucleotide RNA transcript. It is a transcript of the gene named synaptotagmin 6, with no coding region annotated. The record is from RefSeq and is a predicted model, not a curated record. NCBI's taxonomy places the organism in Eukaryota, Metazoa, Chordata, Mammalia, Artiodactyla, Cervidae. The transcript has 8 exons.